This 497-nucleotide ribosomal RNA is filed under the name uncultured bacterium. Its description in RNAcentral is "partial 16S ribosomal RNA". It matches the Rfam family "Bacterial small subunit ribosomal RNA", at positions 28 to 507 of the family's 1533-position model. The record is from RNAcentral.
GAUGAACGCUGGCGGCGUGCCUAACACAUGCAAGUCGAGCGAACAGACGAGGAGCUUGUUGCUCUGACUUUAGGGGCGGAGGGGUGAGUAAUAAGAGGAUAACCUCCCUCUACGACCGGCUUGACUACGGCAUACCGGAGCUAAUACUAGUUAAUAUUUUGAACCGGAUGGUUCAUUAGUGAGAGACGGAUGUUCUGUCGGUGAUAGAUGGGUCGGCGUCGCAUUAGCUAGUUGGUGAGGUAACGGCUUACCAAGGCGACGAUGCGUAGCCGACCUGAGAGGGUGGUCGGCCACACCACAACUGAGACGCGGCCCAGACCACUACGGGAGGCGGCAGUAGGGAGUCUUCCGCAAUUGGCGGAAGCCUGAUGGUGCAACGCCGCGUGGGGGGUGAAGGUCUUCUGAUCUUAGAGCUCUGCUAUUAGGAAAGAAGAAGUGUGUAAGUAUCUAUGGACGUCUUGACGGUACCUUAUCAAAAAGCCACGGCUAACUACGUG